CUGCUGUCGUGUGAUGGUCAGGCAUCCUUCAGGCUGGUGGAAAGAAAAAUCCUGGGCAUUGGCAGGCUUGCUGGGACUCCUGGGAGCUACUUGAAGAGACCUCAGGGUCAAAAACCUCUGCUUCCCAUGACAGCGCAUGAGAUCAAACCCCUGUGACCACGCUGAAGGGAAGGGGCUCAUUCGACCAUGCCGGGAACACACACGCUCUCUUACAGUACCUCUUGGCAAGCAGGAGAUGAGCAGGAGCUGGAGAAGGGUCCAGAUCCAGAUGAUGUCAUCUUUUUGCCAAUUACACUCCUGUGUCAGCUGCAUCCAGCCAGCUGCAUCCAAGAAUACAGAAUGUCGAAGGCUCU
This is a long non-coding RNA of Lonchura striata (white-rumped munia), 353 nucleotides long. RefSeq lists it as uncharacterized. NCBI's taxonomy places the organism in Eukaryota, Metazoa, Chordata, Aves, Passeriformes, Estrildidae. The record is from RefSeq and is a predicted model, not a curated record.